Molecule: long non-coding RNA, 4908 nt
Filed under: Sus scrofa (pig)
Lineage: Eukaryota; Metazoa; Chordata; Mammalia; Artiodactyla; Suidae
Description: lncRNA (ENSSSCG00000057057.1)
Source: RNAcentral
CUCCUGCCCUCUUUCAUUAGGUCCUAUCUGUCUUUUGGAUGUGUUUGGACAUGACAUACAGGAGAAGCCUUUCCUGACACUCUAAAUCUAGGUUAGAAUGUUCCUAUUGUGUUUGUAGCAAUUGGCUGGUUUUUUUUGUCUCUGACCCCUUAGACUGUAAACUCCACGAGGGCAAGAACUACGUCAAUCUGUUUGCCAACCGAAUCUCAGUGCCCAGCAAGGUGCCUGCACCCAGUAAGGGCUUGGUAACUAGUCGGGGAACAAAUCAAUGGGUUCCCAAGCCUGAUCUAUCGUGUCGAAAGAGCAUCGGUAACUUUAUACCUAACAGAUUAGAAAAUACCAAGCUAAUAGUGCCUAGGUGUCCAUACACAGCUUUUGACAAAUGCGGCCCGUCUGAGACCUCUGAAAAACAUGCUUUAGCCCAAUUACCUGGAUCUCAUACAUGACCGGCUAAAUAGAGCCUGACCAUCUGUCUGUCAUAGCGCCAAGAAACUCACUGCCACCAGGUGUCCCCCAGAUAGGUGGGGAUCAAUUAGUAAUUAUAAUUGAAGCAUCGUGUAAUUUAUCACUUAAUCCUAAGCUGCUCAAGUUGAAUUCCACUGACAUGACAUCAUACAACCGGGGAAACCACAGAAAAUAAUUCAAAGGGAAAAAAUGGAUAUGAAAAAAUCCUGGGCCAAUUCUUUCCCUGGGCAGCCAAGAACUUGGGUGUGUCGGGCCAAUUAUAUCAACACGUAUUAGGAGGAAAUAAUGAGGGUUGGGCAGAGGUGUCUGAUGAGAACUUCAUCCGCGGUGGUAAGAAGCAAUCUGUCAGUAGGCGGAUUCAGAGGCCGAAUAGGUCCGUGUGUCCAGAGGAUCCAGAGGACAGAGCGCCACGUACGGGACCUGGGUCAUCUGGCCACCUACCCACACAGCUUUCCGCCCCCAGGGCCCGUGAACAAAAGAGGAAAGGGAGACAGGCCACGGCAGUGGUUUCUGUUCUCUUGUCCUGUAGUUUGGGGAUCAUCCGAAUGAUACCCCUCGACCAACACCGAGCAGUGUUUUUACCAGGUUCACCCUCGCCCUUAACAGAUCAGUUUACGUGGACAGACACAGAGACGGAAAGUGUGUAUCCUCUCUACGUGUCAUGCUCGUCACGACCUGAAGUUUACCACCGGGCUCAGGACGAUGAUAAAUUAAACCAAUACAGAUGCUUGAAAGAAACGGCAGUAUAUCUUUACAGCAGAAAUCCACAGGGGCUCCUCCAGAACGAUGCUGUAGAUCCGUGACUGGGCCUGGGGUCCUUUAGACCCUUUUGCCAAAAUACAAAUUCCAGAGCCAUCAUCCUGGAGAUUCUGACUCUGCAGAUCCAAGCGAGGGCUUAGGAAUCUGAAUUUUAACGAGCAUUCUCCUGGGAGAUGUGUAUGCAGUAAGACCGUGGAUAGGAAGAACCACCCAGAGAUCCGUACUUGUUUAUGGGGAAAUGUGGGGAUAUAGACUAUGAAGUUGUGUGCAUUAUAAAACAGUCCCAUUUAAAAAUACCCAGAUAGAUAAAAUACAGACAAAAGAAAGACAGAUGUUUUUCUUUUCUUUUUGUCUUUUUUUGAGCCAUCCGCAUGGCAUAUGAAGGUCCCAGGCUAGGGGUCCAAUCGGAGCUGUAGCUGCUGGCCUACACCCUAGCCACAGCCACAGCCACAGCCACGCCAGAUCCAAGCCACGUCUGUGACCUACACCAUAGCUCACAGCAACGCCGGAUCCUUAACCCACUGAGGGAGCCCAGGGAUUGAACCUGUGUCCUCAUGGAUACUAGUCAGAUUCAUUUCUGCUGAGCCAUGAUGGGAACUCCUGAGAAUAUGCUGUUUUUCAAAAAAUAUUUUUGCUCCAUGUAUUUUAUAAUUUUCCGCAAUGCAUUUAUACUGCCCUUAUACCAACAAAAAGAUAUUUUUAAUUAUAAGAGAAAUAUUUACCAAGCUCCUAACGUGCCACAAGCAUCAGGGCUACAAAGAUGAAAUCAGGUCACAAUUUUCUACCGUGAGCCCCUGGAGGGAGAGGACACAACCCCACGUGCAUUGGGACAGCUGGAGGACCUGCUGUGGGAGCACCAAGGCCUGGAGCGCCCCCUGCUGAGGCAUCCCAGCUGUAACGUUGGCCAUCACAGCGGCAGGCACCCAUCUGGCUGCUACAGAGCCGUGAACGGCCGGGAAACACAUUGGCAAUACUGGGGAUAGAGAAUGAAUUUCCCUAUAGACAGUUGGGGUUCUGGUCAAAGAAGCCUCACAACACUAAACAAAAGAAACCCAACACAAACAAAAAAACAGCAACCAGAAAAUUCCAACUCACAACAUGAAGAACAAAGCAGUAACUUAAACCAAUGAAUGACAGGUGUGACUUUGGAUCGGGACCUCCCGGAGGAGGGACCAGGAGAUGCCGGAUGUGCUGCUCAGAGGCGUUCUCCCUCCCAGCCAGGCUAUUACUCAGAACCGCCUGUUCUCUGCCUCAUCAAAUCCCACCCAGCCUUCAAGCCCAGCUAGCCCCUCUCCUACGGGUCUCCCCGACACUGUGGUUCUGGAGCAUCUCCAUCCAUUGAGCAUACAGUACUUUACCGGACAUACAUUGUGCAACCGUGUGUGUUUGGCCUGCAUUAUUUAUCUCUUGGAUUAAGAGGUCAUGUGACAACUUCUUAAAAGGAAAAUAAUCUCGUUUCUUCAAGAAGGCUGCCAGGUCUUGAGGGAUGGUUUAAAAGACAAUUCCAGGCACAUCAACAUUAGGCACGAAAUUCCCACUUUUAAAAUACGUCAUGUUGACCAGAAGUACUUUAUUUAGAAUGUUAAAGAAGCUCAACAUUGAAAAAUAAGAACUGGUUAAACUAAAUUGGUUGUUUGGGAAUAAAUGCCAUUACAAUGUUCUAACUACCCAUAGUUUUUUGUUUUUUGUUUUUUGUUUUUUUACCACUGCUAUUUUAUCCUGAUGCAUUUAUAUUUGGGGGGGAGUGGCUUGUUUUUAUUUAUUUUUGUUUGUUUGUUUUCAUUUUGGGCUGCACUCUCGACAUGCAGAAGUUCCCAGGCCAGGGAUCAAGCCGGCAGCCAUAGCAGUGAUAACACCAGAUCCUUAACUGCUAGACCAAAACUCUCCAUAUGUUUUAUUUUAAAGUCAACAGUAGGCAUCUACUUGCCAAAUGGUCACAUUCUAUGAUUCUAAAAAGCUGGUUUGGAAAUAAUUCAUUUCUUUAAUAUCUAUCGGAUUAGAACUACUAAGUAUUUUAGCAAACAUGACUACCGCUUGGGAGAGGAGAAAUUCACAAUCUUGGAAGAAUAAGAAUGUGCUUUCCUUAAAAACAAUUGUCUAAGAAGAGACUGUUAAAGACGCUUUCCUUAAAUUCAGCAUGAGAAGAAAAGAUCUGCUUCUGGGAAAAAGCUGAUGAGAAUGAUAACAACAGAUGUUUGGCUCACAUCAUAAAGCUGUGUUGUGUAAAUUCCAGCCGAUGUGUUCAAAGACAAGGUAGUGCAUUAUUUUAAAAGCUUUCUUUUUCUGACGGCCGAGCAAAGGGAAAAGCAGAGGCACAUUACAACAUUACUCUAGCGCCCUCUGCUGUCCUAUUGGCAACACGCCUUUCUGAGUUCCUCAUUUGCCUUUUCUAGAGCUAUUUGCAAAGGAGCUCUUUGGGAAGCCACUAAUGUGUCUGGAGGGGAAUGGCUCGUCAAAGAAAACCAAAUACCCAGAUCUUACAACCUGACGGUGUGCUAUUUAUGCCCACACACACUGUUUACCGCCCUCUGGGGAGCCAGAGGUAGCAUUGUGCGUAUUAGACUCUUACAGGUGAGUGGAGUCAGGAAACAUUAGGGCUCCAAAAGGAAAUCUUUAUAAUCCUAUUCAAUGCUUGGUCUGUGGAAAAUUUGCAGAGGAUGCCAUAGGUGACCUGAUGAGAGCUGAAUGUCUGAUGGACACCUGCAGGACUAAACCUGCUUUAUUGAAAAGAAGUUGAAUAAAUAAGAUGAGGAAAGCUUAAUCACCAGAAGCAACGUCAGCUCUUUUUAAAUGGGGGUCAGAAAUGCAAAUAUGCUCCUUUAAUACAUAUAGAUUUAGAAGUGACUUCAGAUUUGGGAGUCAACCUAACCUGAAAUACUAAAAUAAAUUCAUACCUGCUACUCAAUAAAUAUUCUAAAACUAAGGAUAAAAGUAUGUAAAUUAUAACUGGGCAUAAAUGAAGAAAUAAACACACAAAUUUAAUCAACCCAAUAUAAUGAAUACAAAUCUCUGCAGGAAAUAAGCACAAAUGCUAAUAGGGUUUGUUUAAAGACAUAAAAUUAAUGUUUCAUGUUUUUCCUUCCACAUCUUUUCUGCUUUUUUUCUUUUGGUCAUGACAGGAAGUUACUUUUACAGUGGGGGAAAAUACUGAACUCACUUCCAGAAAUAGUCUGAAAGGAGAGGAGCUUGCUCAGGUCUUUCUGAAUACAUAUGUAAAGAAAAUUAGCACAAGAGGAAGGAGGUAUUUUGUCCUCUUCCCCAAUUGUCCCAGUUGGUAACUAUAAAUCCAACUUUUCCUUAUGAUAAUGUCACCUAUUGCCUUUUGACUCUUUAUCAUCUAAUCCUAAAUCCAUCCACAGGCGAGAAGGAGCUGUCCCCAUUUCUGGCUAUUGCCCGCCGGUCUUUUUCACUGUCACAGCUGAGUAAUUGACAAUUUAUGCAAUCCAGUUCAUCUGCUUAGCAACAGGAAGGGUGGGGCUCAAAACAGAGGAAAACUACACCAGCAGCAUUCUACAAUUGUGAAAUGAGAAAGGAGGAAUGGGGAACUGGCGAGAGGCCAUAGGCAACAAUUUUCAAUACUAAAUAAAACUAUUUGCAAUGCUUUCAGUACUAAAUCCCCAAAGAUAAGUCCAACAGGGAGUGUUCUAUACUCUCCUCAUACAAAUCUCUGUAAUUACAGUCUUC